Salvia splendens (bonfire salvia) is the source of this 554-nucleotide long non-coding RNA. RefSeq lists it as uncharacterized. NCBI's taxonomy places the organism in Eukaryota, Viridiplantae, Streptophyta, Magnoliopsida, Lamiales, Lamiaceae. The record is from RefSeq and is a predicted model, not a curated record. The transcript has 2 exons.
UGUUUUUUUUUAUAGUAUAUUGGACUGUUCUUUAGCAAGAACCAAACUCUUGUUGUAAUAAUCAUAGCAAUAAUAGAGACUCACUUCAUUAAAUAUCUACCUUGUAAAUUUAAAUCUAGAACACUUUCACCACCAUCGUUUUCCGAAGCAGAAAACCAAGAAAAAUGGUAAAGCCAGUGGAAAGCAAUCAAGCCCUCGGCGUUCACGUAAAAGGGAUAAAAUUGCUAAAUCUCUUAAAGCAAUGGAUACAGCACUUUCCGUUGGAAGUGCUGUAGUAAGCGUCGGGGCAAUAACGGUUGCUGCUACAGGCUGUCGUAUCAUGUAGAUGGUGGUUUGUCCUAAAUAACUUUUUUCUAUUUUAAAAAUUGCACAUUUUGAUUUUAUGAAUGCGUCGAUCUCUAUGUGAAUUGUUAAGUAAUAUUUCUUGAUAGUCUCCUUGUAAUAUCUUUGUUUUAUGUAUGAAUGCAAUGUUUCUAUAUUUUGUAAAUUAACUUAUGCACGCUGUAUUACUUUUCACUUAUUUGUAAUAAUAUUUGAUAUGGUGUGAUAUUGGA